This 253-nucleotide ribosomal RNA is filed under the name uncultured bacterium. RNAcentral's name for it is "partial 16S ribosomal RNA". It matches the Rfam family "Bacterial small subunit ribosomal RNA", at positions 524 to 776 of the family's 1533-position model. The record is from RNAcentral.
GACGUAGGUGGCGAACGUUAUCCGGAAUCAUUGGGCGUAAAGGGUGCGUAGGCGGUCGUGCAAGUCGGAUGUGAAAUCUCAGGGCUCAACCCUGAAACUGCAUUCGAUACUGCGCGGCUAGAGUGCUGGAGGGGAGACUGGAAUUUACGGUGUAGCAGUGAAAUGCGUAGAUAUCGUAAGGAAGACCAGUGGCGAAGGCGAGUCUCUGGACAGCAACUGACGCUGAGGCACGAAGGCCAGGGGAGCAAACGGG